CGUCGUCAGCUUACCCUGUGAAGGAUUUAUAGUAAGCAAAAUGAGUUCACCCCAAAACGUCAGGUCAAGGUGUAGCGUAUGGGAUGGAAAGAAAUGGGCUACAUUUUCUACCACAGAAUACCACGAAUAAUGCCCUGAAAAAGCAUCUGAAGGAGGAUUUAGUAGUAAAAAGUAAACAGAGAGUACUUUUGAACUAGGCUCUGAGGCGCGCACACACCGCCCGUCACUCUCCCCUAUCACUAUCAACUAAUUAUACCUAAUACUUAAACAUAAGCACGGGGAGGCAAGUCGUAACAUGG
RNAcentral lists this ribosomal RNA (299 nucleotides) under Dasyloricaria filamentosa (whiptail catfish). Its description in RNAcentral is "partial small subunit ribosomal RNA". It matches the Rfam family "Bacterial small subunit ribosomal RNA", at positions 1050 to 1496 of the family's 1533-position model. The record is from RNAcentral. Lineage: Eukaryota; Metazoa; Chordata; Actinopteri; Siluriformes; Loricariidae.